AAUCAACGCUGGCGGCGUGCCUAACACAUGCAAGUCGAACGCGAAAGGGGAGCAAUCCCUGAGUAGAGUGGCAAACGGGUGAGUAACGCGUGGGUGACCUGCCCUCGAGUGGGGGAUAACGUCCCGAAAGGGGCGCUAAUACCGCAUAACAUUCUGGGUUUGAACAUCGAGCAAUCAAAGCUGGGGAUCGCAAGACCUGGCGCUUGAGGAGGGGCCCGCGUCCGAUUAGCUAGUUGGUGGGGUAAAGGCCUACCAAGGCGACGAUCGGUAUCCGGCCUGAGAGGGCGGACGGACACACUGGGACUGAGACACGGCCCAGACUCCUACGGGAGGCAGCAGUGGGGAAUUGUUCGCAAUGGGCGAAAGCCUGACGACGCAACGCCGCGUGGAGGAUGAAGGUCUUCGGAUUGUAAACUCCUGUUGCCAGGGACGAAUAACUCGCGAUCUAACACGUCGUGGGAUUGACGGUACCUGGUGAGGAAGCCCCGGCUAACUCUGUGCCAGCCGCCGCAGUAACAC
RNAcentral lists this ribosomal RNA (519 nucleotides) under uncultured bacterium. RNAcentral describes it as "bacterial SSU rRNA". It matches the Rfam family "Bacterial small subunit ribosomal RNA", at positions 32 to 526 of the family's 1533-position model. The record is from RNAcentral.